Molecule: ribosomal RNA, 449 nt
Filed under: uncultured bacterium
Lineage: Bacteria
Description: partial 16S ribosomal RNA
Rfam family: Bacterial small subunit ribosomal RNA
Source: RNAcentral
AGCGAACGCUGGCGGCAGGCCCAACACAUGCAAGUCGAACGAAGCCUUCGGGCUUAGUGGCGGACGGGUGAGUAACACGUGGGAACGUACCUUUUGGUUCGGAAUAACGCAGAGAAAUUUGCGCUAAUACCGAAUGAGCCCUUCGGGGGAAAGAUUUAUCGCCGAAAGAUCGGCCCGCGUUGGAUUAGGUAGUUGGUGUGGUAAAGGCGCACCAAGCCUACGAUCCAUAGCUGGUCUGGAAGGAUGAUCAGCCACACUGGGACUGGGACACGGCCCAGACUCCUACGGGAGGCAGCAGUGGGGAAUCUUGCGCAAUGGGCGAAAGCCUGACGCAGCCAUGCCGCGUGAAUGAUUAAGGUCUUAGGAUUGUAAAAUUCUUUUACCAGGGACGAUAAUGACGGUACCUGGAGAAAAAGCCCCGGCUAACUUCGUGCCAGCCGCCGCAGUAA